AGAACGAACGCUGGCGGCAGGCUUAACACAUGCAAGUCGAACGCUCGUAGCAAUACGGGAGUGGCAGACGGGUGAGUAACGCGUGGGAACAUACCCUCCGGUUCGGAAUAGCUCAGGGAAACUUGGAUUAAAUACCGGAUACGGCUGAGAGGCGAAAGAUUUAUCGCCGGAGGAUUGGCCCGCGUUCGAUUAGCUUGUUGGUGAGGUAACGGCUCACCAAGGCGAUGAUCGAUAGCUGGUCUGAGAGGAUGAUCAGCCACAUUGGGACUGAGACACGGCCCAAACUCCUACGGGAGGCAGCAGUGGGGAAUAUUGGACAAUGGGCGCAAGCCUGAUCCAGCCAUGCCGCGUGAGUGAUGACGGCCUUAGGGUUGUAAAGCUCUUUCGCUCGGGACGAUAAUGACGGUACCGAGAUAAGAGCCCGGCUAACUCGUGCCAGCAGCCGC
RNAcentral lists this ribosomal RNA (446 nucleotides) under uncultured bacterium. RNAcentral's name for it is "SSU rRNA". It matches the Rfam family "Bacterial small subunit ribosomal RNA", at positions 26 to 518 of the family's 1533-position model. The record is from RNAcentral.